RNAcentral lists this long non-coding RNA (247 nucleotides) under Phoenix dactylifera (date palm). RNAcentral describes it as "long non-coding RNA (PDAC_LNC012122)". The record is from RNAcentral. Lineage: Eukaryota; Viridiplantae; Streptophyta; Magnoliopsida; Arecales; Arecaceae.
AGUUAGGGAUGUGUUGUUAUAUUAUGCAAUGGAAUGCUACUGUUGAUGCUAUUACCAUAUUUGAAGCAGCUGAAGGGCCAUAAGGUCCAUAGUGUUGUUAAAUCUCAUGUGCCAUCUAAUUAUAGAGGAGGUAAGCUGUUUUAUGGCCAUAAUAAUGGUGACCAUGGAAGGCACCGUGUAAAUACUAAAGAUGGAGUGAGAACAAAUCAGGUGGUAGCUGGGAAUAACAGCGGACCAUGGAUAAGCG